Gasterosteus aculeatus aculeatus (three-spined stickleback) is the source of this 24805-nucleotide long non-coding RNA. Lineage: Eukaryota; Metazoa; Chordata; Actinopteri; Perciformes; Gasterosteidae. The record is from Ensembl.
CCUUCAGACUGCUCCAUUCCACACAGCACUAACCCCCACGAGAUGCUCCAUGACUCCCUGGCGUAGCCCACAGAUGCUCGUAGAUACGGCUGCCCAUCCCCGUGCGUCCCUCCGUCUGUCUGUCUGUCAGAGCCCUGAACUUUACAAAAGAGGAUAAAGUCAAUUUGUCUGCGCUCGUUCCGGGCGGAGCCCCGCGUGGCUUACGACAACUUAUCACGGGUAACAGAAAACGACGUGCUGUCUCCGGCACCGAGGCGAAACAAGGAGGAAGCGUCCAGCAAAGAGAAAACUCGAGCGGGUAAAAAAAGGGUUGAACAAUCCAGGCUGAGGUUGAUUCAAAUACCGGUUAAUAGUUAUACAGCUUUUUAUAAUAACACUGAUCUCCUCUCCAACUUUUUUCUGCUGUCCCUCUCCACAGGAUUGUGAAAAUUAUUGCAGCUUUCCAUGUGGGAUGUGCAAGUGUCCUUGUAUGUCAUACAUGUAUGUAUGGAAACCUAAACAAGCUUAUACGUUUUUGAAUUUCAAUUGUCAGGUUGAGCAAUGUGCUCAAAUUGUCAAGUUUAAGUGAAGUUGCGAAAGAUGGCUGUUUUAAAUUUUUUUUUAACCAAUUUUCCCUCCAACUUUUACUUGACAAUGCAAAGAUGCUUUACCUGCGUCCACGAUAUCCACUUUGAUAGAUAUGUUUCAAGAGAUAUGCACAAAUGCACCCCAUCUUCACUCACGGUAAGGUGUUAAUAGAUAAAUAUAAAUAAAGAUAGAUAAAUAUGAUGAUUUUUUUAUUUUUUAUUAUUAUUUAUCAUAAAAUGGGCUCAUCUUUUUAACAACAGUAUAAAGAAGUUAUUGGCACUAAAAAUGAAACAUAAUUCAUUUUCCAAUUUAAAUGUUCUCACUUUAAAGGGAUGCACUUUAUAAAUGUCUGGAAAAUGUCUCGACGUCGCCUCUAUUACUGCACUGACUGGAAAGUGGUCAUUUUCUAUCUGAAUAAAGGUGCCAAGUGAUUUAUCACAUUUGUAGCCAACCGGAUCCAACACAUGAGGUCGAGCACAAACUCUGAACAAUGGCGACAUAUCUGCUUCAAAAAUAACCCAGCUGACUGCGCCAAAAGAAGGCCAACUGUGUCCAGGGUUGAAAGCUGAAGCGGCUCGUCACCAAGUCUUUGUUUGAUAACAGGGAUUUUCCUUCGCAGAGAAUCGCAAGGUCUGUCAUAUUUGGUGGAUUUCUGUCAUUUCUAAUAGGUGCUGUAUUACAUCAACGUGGUGGUAUCGUAUUUUUAUCUGAGUAAAUGUCACCACGACAAUGUAAAAUGUAUUUACUUAAUUAGUUAUCUUAAUUAUCUUCGGAUGCCACAGUGAAGAAGUAAGGAAAGAUAGAAAUGGAAACCUUUUAACGUCUCGUCUGUAAUGCACUUUAAAUUUCAACUAUUUAGUUGAAAGAGUUGCUGUGAAAUCAUCGGCCCGGACUGCCGAGAGGAGAACAUGUGACCUACGGUAUCAUGAGCAAGCCGCUCAUUCCGUAGGUCUGUAGGGCUCAGUCCCUUUGCUGUCCCACGGGGGACAUCCUGCAUUAGCAUGGACACGUCAUCUGGUGGAUGAUGACACACUCCAGUAGCCCCAGAAACUGGCCUCGGCUACCGAGUUCCUCCAUCCCCCACCAAGAGGUCACCCCCCCCUCAGCAGUCAGCACUCCCUCCACCUUCUGCGUGGCAAUAAUCACAGGAUCGCUGGACUGAUGCCUCUUCAGUGAACCUCUGCUCGGUCCUAUUUUAAUGUUUAUUUGUGAUUUUUUUUAGGACAAAUGCUGAUGAAACUAGUGUAAACUGUUACUGAUGGACCCAUUGAUGAGCGGAGCCCCAUAAUAUCUAUUAGAAAAGCUCGUGAAAUGAUUCACUUAUCCAACAGAUCACAGAGGAAAGGAGAGGAGAUUGGUUCAGCAUUGCUUAUUGUGAAUCAGCCAUCUAAAUAGUACAUAAUCGGUGGAGAAAUAUAUUUUGAAUUGGAAGACGGAGGUCAAGCCAAACGCACCUGUUUACUCUUCGUCAUUCGCCAUCCAAGGGAGUCGAAGCAGAGAAAGGCAAUGAGGCGCUUUAUCAAAUUCAGACACCUCUGCUGACAGUAAAACAAUGGAAUACAAAUGUCCCCUCCCAUCUGUGGACACAUGAUAUGAAGAGCGUGAUAUUUGACUUCACGCAUCCCCCCCCCCCACCCAACUCCUGGUUCCACAAAUCACCUGUCGGCUCUCUUGCAAUCACAAAAAGGGUCAAAGGCUCCUCGUCAUGCUUGUCGAUCACAGCAGUGUCCAACUUGAUGCCCUGAACUGACUUUGUAGUUCACUCCGGAGUUGAGAGAGUGAGAAAACUCAACACACAGUAGCUAAAAAGGGAAACAGGAAGUUAGAUACAAUAGAGAAGACCUUUGAUCCACGAUGAGGGGGACGACUUCCCCUCUGGGUGCAAACUAUUAAUGCGAAAGUGACUCUUUCCAUUGCACUUUUGUUACUGCAAAUAAUGGAUCUAAAAUAAGCACACAAUGGCAGGCAGGCGGGCGACACUUGCACCCAGCCAUGUGCAGGAAGGGAGCGGGAGGUAAUUGUAUGAAAAUGAGUGAUUUGUUGCGGCCGGGCUGAUUAAGAGCGCCGGCCGGUCGCCAUUUAAGGACAGAGGGUCCCGUGUUUGAGCUCCUCCUGCAUCGACUGUGUGGAACCGGUAUCUGCUGCUUGAAGUGCGUCCGUGAACACCUCAAGGCAUUCGGAAGCUCCUCUGGGUCACAGGUGGAGCCUCGCCAAAUGAAAUGCGCGUCUUUGCUUUUCCAAUAUUUUGUAUUUGUGUGCAUCAGACCAACGGGAGGCCCUCGCAGACAGUGUUCCUCUAAAGAAAAAAUAACAAUUACAAAAACCCGGACGGAAAGCUGAUUUGAUUGGCAAUUUUUUUUUUUGCAAGGCCAGCUGCAGGAUGAGUGUGCAGGAGAAAGGGAGAGAAGGCGGACGGUUUUGUAUUCAGGCUGCUUGUGCCUGUGUGCGUACACGUGUGUUUUUCCAUCGUUUAUCACUGUAACCUAGAGAACACGGGUGAAAGAGCGGUCGUAAUACACGUGUAAUGACAAAAGUAUUCGGUUUUAUCACCACUUGUUGUUUUUUCUCUUCAUUUUUAAGAGACCCGCCAGCAGCGAGGAUCAUGAAAUCCAUUUUCCAGCGACCGUCGCUCACUGAAAACGUCUACAUAUGAACAUACGCAAGUAGCCUUGGAUACACAAACACACUUGUGCUGAAUUAGCAGCACAAAGACGCUGGUUAUAAAAUGUUGAAGUUGCAGUCUGUGAAAACAAUAAGCAGCAGAGCUUUGUGUAGCUGAAAGAAAAGCCUUGAGGUCGCCGUCAUGAGGAAACUUUUUAUGAACUCCUGUCACGGGAGCGGCAGAGUAUCUGGUGCUGGUCUGGUUGUGGAAACAGACGAUGGGCUCUGCCUGGGGACCACGGCCUUUGGUGAACUGAUAUGGAUGAUAGUCCUUGUUUCAGGCUCAUGGAUUCAUCUCUAAUAACUGGAAUACUAUUUAUUGGCAAGAUUAGAAAAAGGGGAAUUCCCCCCUCGCGAUUUCUGCAUCAACUGAUCUUUCUUUUUAUCAGUGUUAUAUUAUAUUAGAAGAGAAAGAGACGGUGGGCGAAACGGUGGCUCAGAUGCUUCCAACGAGGUUCUAGUCGAAGAAAAUUGUGUUUCUAUCUCUCAUGAGCACAGCUACUAGAGUGCCGCUUCACUCAAAGCAUUCAUGAAAGACUUUUUACUUCUUUUUUUUUUUUUACAUUUUGAUUUGAUUAAUACUUAUUGCGUUUGUCAGUCAGCAGGAACAGCUUUGCCUGUCGUGCCAAAAAGUGAUUGCCAAGAGAUUGCAGCCUGUUAGAGCAUAUUACCCAGUUUAUUGUCUACAGCUGCUUUCAUGUGGAUGACUUUUAUUGAAGUAACACUACAUCACAACAACUGUUUUUCAGCAUGAACGGGAAAUAUUUCAAUCUUUUAUCUCGUCGGAAUUUACAGAUAUUAUUUUCCAACAUACUCUUCAAUUGACAGAUACAAAUAGGAUAAAACAACUUCUGAGUUAUAAGUUCAUCUGGUUACAGUCAAACAUUCGACCAUUCGGAGAAACUAGUGCGUUUUGUUGCUUCAUUACAAAAUGAACAACAUAUUGUCAAAUGUAAACUGAGUGGUAUUUAGAAGAUGAAUGCACUACAUGUUAGUGUGAGCGACAUGGAGGAGUUCUGAGGCUCGACAAUGAGUCUUGGUCUGUAACUCAUCUGGGUAAAAAAGAAGACAAAACAAAAACAUAUUUUAAUAAAAAAUAUAAAAAUUAAUAAAAAACUCCUAUAGAAUGUUGGAAAGUCAAUACAUUGAUAUAUUCAAUCACUGAUUCUUUUUUGUGGGGCCAUGGUUGUCACAGAUAGAUGGAUGAUAGAUGGAUGAUAGAUAGAUGGAUGGAAGGAAAGAGGCAGACACAGAGGGAGAGAACGAGGUAGAGGCCGGCAGUGUCCCCAGCUGGUUUUGGCUAUCUAAUAAACAUGUAAACACUCUGCGUUCUCUACCUCAUUAGGUGAUUGCAGAGGCCGCUUGCUCUCCAUAAAUCAGGGCCCAGGUUAUCAAGGCCUCUGAUCUUAACUGUAGUGGGCGCCCAGCUGUCUACAGCCGCACUGACGAGGAACCGCAGGGUCCGUGGAAUUCAAUUCCCCUCUUCUCCCACAUUUCUCAUUUUGCAAAUAAAAGAGGGGAAAUAUGCUCGUAAGCGCUCGAGAACACAUGCUAACCGGUCAUCAAAUGCAAGGUAUGUCGUUUGUUGAACGGAAAUGUUCCCGCAAAACGUACAGCAUUAUGUCUUCUUCACAAAUGUCAGGUGAUGUGAGGUUUUUACUCCCGAGAAAUGGUGAGAAAAACAUAAUCUCCUGAGAGCAAGUUUGACCGAAAGAUGAAAAAGUUCAAAUAAUGAAAAACGGCUGCGUGAGCUCGAGAUCACACGCCUCUUGUACCUCCAUAAAGGUUACUACUUGCUAGGUUCAAGCACAGUAUCACUCUUUUAUUGCCUAAUGUAAAACACACUCUGUGUUCUAGUUGGCCUACUAAACUUCACAGUGCUUACUGACAGCUUUCUCCAGUCAUCUUUAAAACUCUCCGCAGCUUGAAUUUCCUCUGAACUCCUGGUCUAGUUGGCUGAUUAUUCCACGUUUUAAAUCGUACCGGUGUUAAUUUAAAACAAUAUCACUCCCGCAGUGGCCACAACUGAGGCCAGUAAACAAAUUCAAUUCACAUUAUGGUCUGAAAACAAUUCCAAAAAGGUUUGAAAAUAGCCUUAAUUGCCUAAUUAAGAACCAUAAAACCGUUAUUGCCACCAUGCAAAUGAAAGUGACACAACAUCACCGUUCAUUUGAGAGCCUUUGCUGAAAUGACAUCAGGUGAACGGAUAACACUUUGCAAAAACGAGAUAUGACCGAUUAAAACCAGGACUCGUGUAAACCAAAGCACUGAUGGAAAUAUACGCCGUUCCAUAAAAUCCAGAAAAGUCGAGAUCUCGGCCAUCUGCCGUUUACCAAUCACCUCAAAUGUAUUGAGCAGUCAGGAACGCUGGGCAGCGGGUGGUGGAAGUGUGGAGCGCGAGCACUCCUCCUCCGAGCUCCAGACCAGUUUAAGAGCUGUAGACCCUUUUUGGGACCGCUUCGGCGUUGAAAGCCUCCCUCCGUGGACUUAAAAUUCAUGGCUCGUGUUUCUGCGGUAGUGGUGCGGAAUGACUCCCUCCCUAUGUUGAGCCCACGGGACCUUGGCAUUAGCUGAUGCAGAAACAGGUGGAUGGGAUAGGUUGUAAUUUUAGCGGGUUGUUAGUCAGAGGCCACUGGAAGCCUUACUGCUACAGUGAGGGGUCUUUAGUGCGAUAUCAAAUUGAAAUGUGACGCCAGAUCCCAGCAAUCUUUUCAUCUGUACCGAAACAGCUACCCGGGCGAGUCCGCUGUGCCGCGAGGGCCCAGAGCCACAUUUUCAUAUGAUGUGGGCGGAGUUUUCAUUUGAAGUAAAGCCUCAUAAGCCACCACGCGUUAACAGGAAGUCCGCAUAGGGUUGGAAAUGACAGCGAAUAUGAUAUUUAGGAUUGAAUAAUGACAAUGUUUGCAGCAAAUGGGGCAUCAGUCAGCAGUAGCAUUCACAUUCAGGAGAGGUCAAUUACUGAGAGAAACUCCUGGAUAAAAGACUGUUGGGAUACAUUAAAGCUGGUCUUGGCAGUAUGGAGAGCUGUCGUAAUGUGAACUCAAACUGCAUUUUUGCACCACGGUUCCCUCGUCUGAAAGUCAAUGGUCUCUUUUUUUAAAUGGAUUUUUGGUUUAAUGAAUGAAAAAAAGUCUGUGGUUGGCAAAAUAGUUUUCAACGUUUUGAAUAACAAUUUAAAAUACAUCAGUAAAUGAAUUUUUUUAGGUUUUAUGUUUGUUUAAAAAAGUGGUUAAAGUAGACUACUCAACUUCAACCCGUCCCCUUUCCCACAAACAACUUCAUUCCACUCGUUACUACAAAUAAAAAUGUUCUGUUUAAUUCAAAACAAUUGAAAAAGUCCCGUGUACUUUUUGUGAUACAUUAGCCACCAGAAGUGGCAUCGCCAUCACUUACACUGCUGUCCAGGUCUGUACUCUGAUGCAAUCGCACCCGGUGCCAACACAGCAACGUGAAGUCAGUCGAGCCUUAUAAGUCGCACAGUUGCAACGACAACCCGAUUCACAUGCAGGUUGAAUCCAUUAUUUACCGCCAGCUGCAGUGCAGGCCUCACAACAGGCAUCGCCCAGUUCACCCGUCCUGCAGAGUUAGCAACCCCGAUGUCGCCUGCAUCGUUAUCGACACAUGCAGCCACUUUACUCUCCACACAAUCAAUUAGUUUGGCAGCCGGGUCGUCAGCUGUGUGUCAGCCUGGCACACACAAUCAGGGUUUCCGCCGUUUAUUGCAAUCCCGACGUGACAUUAGCGCGUGUCCGGUCGGGACAAAGAGCGCGUGUGAGAUGAGUAUGAGACAUCAUAGCUGUGAAUGUAGCAGUGAGGUGUGUGUACACUUUUUUUUGUCAGUUAAUAAAUGCUUCAACCCGUCAAGACUGAAGUCAAAGCUCCUGUUUCUUCCUGACUACCUGCUGGUUAAAGCAAAGUGUGUUAGGCAAUUUUUUUUCUAAUUUAAUGUUUCUUUUUUUAUAACUUAAAGCCCGGAUAAACGUUCGGCCUGCGGCAAACUAUGGACUGUUUCUAUCAGGAAAACACAAAAUUGAGUGUUGAAGCUAAAGCAGCUGUGUAUAUUUCAUUUUUUACAGUUUGAAAGAGAGGCACAUCUGAAAAAAAAUACCUCUGUUAAUAGUCAGUGUUAGAACUGCAAUGCUAUUAUUAAGUACUCAUUGGUCCAAGUGGUAGAAAUCUUUGUUACAGGUGAUUCUACCAAUAAAUGUUAUUCUUAACCAUGCUUUUAUUUUGAAAUACUGCCAUGACGGUUGCUAUAACCUCUUGAAGGCAAUUCUGAUAUUGACCUGAAUUGUUCCAGUAACAUUGUGUCAUUAUGUUCUUGAUGGCGGAACACAGCUGUCGGCCGGGGCAGAAAAUGCAAAGUUUGAUUGUAAUCUGCGCUUCUGUCAUUACUCACUUAAUGCAGCAGAGUGUUGCAGCAAAUACCCGAAAACAAAGCGAGAGAGGGAGAAAAGAGGGGAAGAGAAGAAAAACUAAAAAAGACGAGUUCACAGUUCAGCAGCGAGCUGGCCAGAUGAAGCACUCUUGGUGUGAUUAGUCGGGAGGUGAAGUUAACAGCUAUUGACAGGCCAGGCGGGCUCUGGCUACUCUUCACCCCCAAUCAUCCUUGGCCUUUAAUCAAGUCCGAUCCCGGGACAAAACCACUGAUGAACAGUUCUAUUGGAUUACCGUGCAGCCAGGAUAUGGGCUGUGCUGAAAUUUCUGGACUCUGCAUCAUUAACAAAAACUCAAAAAUAUGUUUACAUACAGCUUUAACCCCCAAACCACACAACAUUUGCAUGCAUUCCUUCAACUUCAGAAACUAGGAACAUUCUUUCAGAAACUCAUAUUGCUGCGGCUUGCGAUGUGUAAUUUUAUGGGAGGCUGCAGAACAAGGAAGCGGGGAAUAUCCUGGCCACAUCUUUAACUUAUUCAGGCAGGAUGAUGUCAUGAUUAGAAGAGGAAAUUGGGAUCCCUCCAGAGCCUAAACACCCCAAGACUGUCGGGCCAGCCAUCCAGACGGCUGCAGGGAGGGAGACAGAGCCAGAGGGAGAGAGAAAGUUUAAGAGGAACCCAAAAAAAAAAAAAGAAAAUAUAAGAGAUGGAGGUGGAGGGCUCGUGUAGCCCCACUGUGUUAAGAUCAAAGCGCAGCUCCACUUGGCUGACAAGGAGGGGCACACACCAGGGAUGAGUGUUUGUCUAUGCAUGCAAUGUGCCUCCAUCCAGCCUUUACGCCCCUCCACCCGUACCUCACGUCAAAUACCGCUGUGCUAUAUAGAAGAUAUCCAUUCUCAUCGAAGCCAACAUGUGUGCACGCACACACACGCACACACACACACACACACACAGCACACCUACACAACGCAUAGAAGGAGUCGGUACGUUUAACAAAUCCGGCUGUGAUGCUCCUCAUGGCUUCCUUCCCUCACAUCGAGGAAACACUGAGAGGUGAUGAGGUGAAAGAGACAGAGAGCAGAGACGGGAGGGAGGGAGGGAGGGAGCGAGGGAGAGCAACAGAGAGAUUGAUUGUACUUUUUUGGGCUCAUACUCAGAAAAGAUUCCCCUGCAUGGCCCCCGAAACACUCAUACACACAUACAGUAUGUUGUAUAAUCACAUGUGUGAAAGCCCUUAAUGAGCGGACCUCAGGACUCUCACUUGAGAGCAGAACUGAUGGCUUGUAAGGAUAAGGUUUUUUCUUCUUUUUUUUUUUUUUUUUGGUUGAUUCUCAGCAACACUAAAUGUCUCUCAUGCAGAGAUCACUGGAGCAAUUAUCUCCUACUCAGCUGAGUUGAACUGGAGAGGAGCCAAGACGGGCACAAGGGGUUCUGUUUGCACACACACUACAGUCAUUUAUUUGCCCUUUAUCAUGUCUCUGGAUAAUUCUCUUGUCUUUUGACUAGUCCGGCCAAUUAGAAGCCGUUCUUUUUUUGUACCUCUGACGGCUGCAGCAGGAAAGCCCCAACUGUGCUUUCCCACACUUCCUAGUUAGGUGGAAAAGCUGGUUUAUCGCUCAGAAGGUCACGUCCCUAAAAUGAACUCUGCAGUAGCAGAAAAAGAAAGAACUCUUCAUUCCCUGAUUCUGGUUUGUACAGAUGAGCGUGUACACACAUCUGUAGAGGCGAGCUGCUCGUUUACAACGUGAUCCGACCGGAGAAAGAGACCUCAGGUUUGUGAGUGUGUAACAGAGGAGGGGGGCUUCAUGAAUGUGAUGUUUAAGCAUGUUUUUACUUCACAUGAAGAAAAGAAGUUUUCCAACAAAGAAAAUGAUCUCGUACGACGAGCCUGUAUGAGAGUGUCAUACCCUUCUUUAGGUUGUGACCACGUGUGGCCCCUACGGCCCCUCGCAAAUCCCUACCUGUCAAUGGACGGCUUUGGGCCUCGUUCAGAUCGGCCGCGUUGCAACAAGUCCAACCUCGCCCUCCCAGGCCCGAGACAGUGAGGGAAUCACUUAAAGAGUUUUAAGGGCUCAUAUUUCAUCCCCUGGCCACAUAGAAUUUGACCUGCAACACUGUGAAAUAUGUUCAGCCUUCCAACUAAAACAAACAAAACGUAAUUCUUCAUCAGCAUCUUCUUCAACGGGCUGAAGAAGGCGGCAAAGAGAAACGAGGGCUGAGCGGAGGGUUUCGUUUAAGCGGCGACCCUUGUUUGCAAUCGUAUUCUUGUCCGGUGUGAGGGAGGGGACGCGAAGGGGGGGCUGGGGGUUACAUGCAGCUUAAAAACAACUUCAUUCCCUCUUUAUGCAAACAUGUCAAUCAUUUCUGACAAAGGAGCAGCUUCUGAGAUGAUGAUUUAGAGAAGAAGACGCAGCGAGGUCAAUUUGAGUCUGGCUUCCAGGCACACAGUGUGGGACUGUGGUGUUUUUUUUGUGACGCAAAAGAACAGACGCCUCGACACUUCAGGGAUGGAAAGCGAACGCCGACUAGUCAAUCAUCGCACAGUCGGCUGUGGUCUUUCUGCGACGAAGUUACAGCGGGUUCAGUAGCUAACAUUUCAAAGGAACAGGUCACGAGUCUAAUGAUGACUUACGGCUGUCUUACCGUGUCCAUUCAUGUGACAUUCUAGCAAUGUUAAAUUCAUCAUUCAUGUCCAGAAAAAAAAAAAUAACCACAUUUCCAAGUCAAGUCAAUUUACAGAAAACUGAGGUAAUAUUUCCCUCAGAGACUUGGUUGACUUCCCUACGUGAUUAUCCAGGCAAUGUGGAUGCACUUGGGGAGGAUAUCCAACGACCAUAACUAGCGCUCAUCAGAAGUCACCUGAUCCCUUGUGGAAGUGCGUUGUAAGACCCGCACUCGCUGGCAUCCUGAGUUUAUUCAGGCCACAGCCCUCACUUCCUCUUCUGGUGUAAAUUUAAAUACAUAUGAAAGCAUUAACGUGUGUGGCUACGACCACACUUAAGCUGUCAGAAUAUCAAAGAAUAGUUGGCCGAUGUGUGUCUCUCUGUGUGUGUCUAUUUGGAAUGAAAAUACAUCCAGCCCCCAGCAUGACCUCCAUCCUUUUUUUUUUCUUUCCUCAGCUUGGCUAAUUUCACCUGAGCCUGCGCGGGUUCGUUCUUGGUGGGAAAUAAUAGGUUUGGCACAGAUCUGGAAGCGAUUUGCCAUCAGCGUGGAUUGAUUGGAGCCACAGUCUGGCUCGUGUCAGCCCGGAGGAGGGAUGGUGGAUAAAGGUCACCGGUGAGGUUGAAAUUAGUCAGGGGAAGCAUGAGCGGCCUCUGGUACAGUGUCAGGCCUGAUUAGGAGGAUCCUGGGCCCUUGACACAGUGCAACCAGCGUGCAACCAAAGACACACACAUGUGCUUGAAGGGUCAACUGCGCACGACGUGUACACAAGACAUGGUGCCAAUGGCCUCGUGGGAGAAACAACCCUGCAGGGGAAAAGGUCCGUUCAGAGGAUUGCGAAGAGAAAAGUGUGGUUCAAUCUGCUGAAAGAAUUGGCUCAAAGCUACUGGGGACAACGGAACAUGACGCAUUUAGAAGUAGAAGACAAGCGAAUGAAGGAGUUGUCCAAAAUAAAUGAAUAUCGGUGUCUUAAAACGUGCUCAUCUGAAGGCUGUGAAGCCCCCCUUCCCCCCCCUUACGUGACAGAGGAAGAAAAAGGAAAUGAAAGUAAACGUCGUCGGCAUCUCAAGAGCACCUUUUUGUCGGCAAAUGAGAGAAAAGCUUUUUCCGCGAAAAACGUGACAAGGCUGCCAAAUGUAAUAUCCCUCCUGACAUGUGAGUGGGGAGCACUUCAACAGCUCGCCCAUCAAAACCCGCUUGAUCUCACACUUGUCGCGAUUACACGACACAUUAAAGCCGUUUCAGUGCGGACGUUUUUUCUCCCCUCCUUUUUUCACCCGCUUGUCAGUUCAGACCUUCACCUGUAAGAAUGUUUCCUUUUUAAUAAUACAAAGUUGGCUAAGUAUAAAAUGAGAUGUGGGUCCAUCCACCAGGAAGUGAGGAUUCCUUCCUGUACCAUUUUACAAUGGUAGUAAAAGGUAAAAGAAGAAUGCAACAGCUUGAGAGUUUAUUUCCAGUAUUUUAGGCCAUUUCGACCAUCUGACAACCGCUUCUGUCACACUUACUUACUUACUAAUCUACUUUGUUGAUGAAAUUCAAUGGAAUCUGUCAUAUCUCUAUAUGGGCCCAUUAUGGGUACUUGAGAGUACAACUUCUCACAUUUAUUUCAGCGAAAAACUGGAAAUUCAGGUUGUGAUGGGUUUCAUAUUUGGGAAAAAUGACAAUAAUUACUUUAAACAGUUUGAAAAAAAAUGACAAAAAAAGAGAAAUAUCAAUCCAAACACUUCACUCUCACCUCAAAAUAGGUCUUUAAACAUGUUGAUUCAUGCUAAUUCCUAUAAUACAUAAUAUAUAAAAACAAUUAGUUUAGGGAAAAUAGGAAAUAGUCUUUUAAGAAAAAACAGGCCUUGUUUUCAUUUUCUGAGAGACGAGCAGGGAAACAAAAGAAAACUGAUCUACAAGUCAAUGGGAUCUCAAGAGCUUUUUGUCUGGAAAUCCAAAAAAAGCUUUUUAGGAAAAUCUGACACAGCCGCCAAAUAUAAUAUCACUCUUGCCAAAGUAGUGGAGUGCGCGUCCAACUGUUAGCCCAUCAAGAGCCCGCCUGAUUACACUCGUCACGAUUACAGGAGACAUUACUGACAUUUCUGCUCAGACGUCUAUCAAAUAUGAAUGCGUUUCCUCUCUGAAGGGCGCAGGAAGGGAACAGAUGUCUCUGGAAGGAAUUGGGAGCUGAAACGUUAUUUUUCAGUUGAUUUUAAGAAAGUGGCUUUAAUGAAAGAUGAAAGUCGAUGGAGAUGCCCAAGUACAAGCGGGGCUGGGAAAAGUGGUGACAUGGAGGAACGGGGGUUUGAAAUGAGAGCUCGUUCCAACUUCUGACUGAAGGCUUCUCAUAAAGUCACAUUCAGCAGUAUAUUUUAAGCUCUAUAUCACAGCUCCACCUGUUGCAAUGCUUCCUAAUAAAAUUCACACGUCGCAUAUCAAGUCGCAAGUGCUGAAACAUCAAUAAGGUUUGUCUGGAUAUCACAGAUCACAUUAAAAGUGGAGAUAUUUGAUGUAAAGCAUCCUGUGUGUGUGUUAGUGUUUGGUUUGCACGUGUGUGUCUGACAUAAAAGCAUUCGCUCUCAUUUGCGUCUUUCACUGUGCUACAUAAACACAUCUAUUAAUGUACACGCGUAUAUAUGUUCGGUGAAAAAGAUGUCAGAUUCUUUGCCAUCUUCUUCUCCAUUUCUAACAAAAAAAAAUAGAAAUCCUUCUGCGCAUGCACAUGUGUUCCCUGCAGCACAUUCCUCAUUGUAUGUGGCUCCGGUACCUCAGGGUGCUGUUGAGGGUGCCAUGCUCCUCAGCACCAGAAUGACACUCAACAGACAGCCAGUCAGACAGAUAUAGCAUGAAAUAUUCAGCAGUAGGUGCUCAUAUCUUCUGACUUCACCACCACUGAAUGGAGAAGUGGUUUUAGCCGUGUCUAUCAUUCACUCAUCUCCUUUUCCAAGGUGCUAUUGUGCAAUCCUCAACGGCGUUUUUCUUUUACUGAUGUGCAGGUCUGAGUGACUCCUGCUACGUUGUACUAAUGCCACGGCUCACAGAUUCAUCAGUGGUUUGGUGCGUAUUUAGCAACGUCAGCAGUGGCAUUUCUUGUUCGUGUGGUUCGUGUCUGACAACAUCCUCAGAUCGGCCGGGAAAAAAUAGUACUAAAAAUAACAAUGCAUUUUAUUUGUACCGGACAAAUGGUCGCACGAAGGCAUACUCACAGGCAUAUGGUAAAAAAAACAACAAUAAAACAAUGACUGCAAUAACAAUACAAAGAUGACUCUAUUGGAGUAAAACACACAACGAAAAAAUACAUUAAGUCUUAUGGGAAAAAGCUAAAUCUCUGUGCCUUUUUUCAACACUUCCUUAGUUUCUGGUUCCUUCCAAAACCCUCCUUUUUUCGCUCUCACUUGCUACAGAAAGGAAGGCUACCGCAGCCUUUCUGAGUCCCAUUCUUAGCAUACUAACUUCUUGCUACCCUUCCUCCACCGGCCGUGUCAUUGACGGACAGGGAUUACACGGAGGUGCUAAUGAGGGCUGCUCUACUAUGGAUAAGCUCCAUUUGUCAACGCGCUGCAAUUUCCAUACUAGAAACUGACAAAUGUUUGAGUGAGUAAUUUGUUAAACCUAAUUACAGUGUGACAAUGGCGCACCUAUUUAACUUAAGUUUGCUGGACUUUUCAUGUUUAAUUAUUUGUACUAAUUCAAUAAUAAUUCAUAAAUGUUUUAUGUUUUUAUUUCACCCUACAUUACAAGCUGUUUGGAUUAUGAACAAUACAGGAUCACAUGUCAAAUGUCUGUGGCCAAGGCGUACUCGGUUAUGACGCUACAUUUGCUUCAACUUCAAUUUGUCUGCCUACGUCAGGAAAUGUUUAUGGAAAAGAAUUAAAUAAAACAAAUAAUAGCUUUUUAGAAAGUCAUGUGGGAAAGUCAUGUGGGUUGAAUUGUCUGUUUCUCUCUCAUGAACCUCAUCCGCCGCGCUGUGGUAAUGCGGUUAUUGAGUUGCUAUAUUGUAAGUACUGAGCCUCAAAUCCAGCAGGGUCUGCGGAUGGCGCCACUCGUAGCCAGCCAGUUUCUCCCCCACCUUUGCCCUCCUCCCACCUCCCAAGCGAGGAGCACUCAGAGCCAAGGUCCAGGAAUUAGCCCCAGCACCCGUCCAGACAACAGAUCAAUGGGCCCGGUCCUGUAUUGAUAGGGCCACUUGGGCUCCAGAAGUGCCUGCUAAUCCCUGCAGUUUAUCAGCCACAGUGGCUGCUGGGAUUUGUUGCCUGGUCCAGUUCUCUGUGUGGCAGACCGGCUUAUGCGUGCGGAUGCACUCUCACUCUCUCACUCUCUCACACACAGACACACACACACACACACACAUUGCACACACUUCCCUACCUCUCAUCGUCCUCCCCUUUUCUCUCAAUGUGGCGUCAAUUGCAUUACCUCGGGUGUUAGGGCCACAGCUAUAGAAUUGCCUCGUUGGAGUUGGCCGUGGCCCGGGUGGCUGUAACUGUAUCCAGUGUCCUGCUAAAGGGGGCAGGAGGCUGGCUGGCUGGCAGACAGUAAGUCUGACCGGAGUGUGGCCCAUUGAUUCUAAUGGGCUUUUUAGAGAGCCUAAUGAUGGGAAUCUCUUCACGCCUCGCUUGUCACGCCUAAUUAAGCCAAAGCAACAAUGAGUCCAUUCACACUGGCUCAGGUUACCUCCCUAACCCCUCCCCUUAGCGCCAGCGUUGCUCAUUUUAGCAAAAAAAAUGACGUGCACGGAUUGAGGCCUGGAUGUUGUUUAGAUAAAUAUAGAUAUAUGGAUAGAGAUCGACAGAUGGAUGGAUUGAUGUACAGCGGAGAACAAAUAAAUAAGAGAACUCGGAUGUAUGCACUGAAAUUAUUAAGGGGUUGGACAAUUAUAUACAAUCAAAUGGCAAAAUCUUCAUGCAUUGCCUCCAAUUGCACCAAUUUGUCAGUGAAAGCUCCGACUCUCAAAACACCAGUAUGUUCCCUUCGCAAGCAGCUUAAACUGGCAAUGAGCUUUUAAGAAAGGACGUCGCUUGGGGCGGGUGUAACUAAAUAAUCAUACCACAAAGCCACCGAGUUGCCCUCAGAUCUUGAACACAGCCUGGAAACAAACACUCACAUAGGCUUCAUUGGCUGUUGAUUCCAGCAGAUUGCCAGUGGCAACUGGACAGAAUCAUAACAAGCAAAUCUGCCGGCGGCUGUCUAUCAUUAUCCACAUUUACCAGUCCCCCCCCCCCAUCCCCCGUGAACUGAUCUUGCUUGUUUUUGUGUGUAUGUAAGCGCGCAUUACGUGGUUUAACUCCCGUAAGGUCAAACUGAGUGGCUUCCUGUCAGGCUGCCUGAUGGCCGUACAUCAGGUGUGUGUGAUGGAGCCAGCAGAUAAACCGCAUGCACCACCGUGCUCUCCGGCCCUGUUUGUGUGCACAUGCUUUUAGCCGGCCACUUAACUGCCAGGAUUAGGUCUGUAAGGAGAUAAUUGCAGGGUGAAUGUAGACGGCGGUUGCCGUGUGUGACUCAAAAGAACCGUGGACACCUUUUGUCAACCUUUACCUGCGCCUUUGUCUCGGGGCGGAGUGUCUCUUUAUGGAGGAGAGAGGGAGGGAGGCGGGUGUGCGCUGUUUGAGCGUGUAGUGUGUGGGCUGGACGUUACCUUUUUUUUUUUUUACCGAGGACCGUUCUGACAUGAAUGCCGUCUAAAGCAGGGGAGUGUCGGUAAAUAUUGAUCUCUGUGUGUCGCUGCAUGAAGUAGUCUGCCGCAGACUGAUUCACCCUGCAGCUUUCUCCCGUUGAUCUCUGCUAUUCAUCAGGCUGUUUGACACGGAGACAACAGUUCAAAUAGGACAAGAUGAGACAGUGUAGGGAGCCCCAUGCAAGAUCAAAAGGACAUUUUUAGAAACCGGGCAUGGAUCCAAUAAAAAAAACAGCAGGCCUUCUCAAAACGGCCCUGAAAAGAAUAAGUGAAUACUUCCCGCGUGUGUGUUUCCCUAAUCAAUGCAAUCAGUUAAUCAGCUUCAUGGAUUAAGUGACAUAACUGGUGUAAGCGUCUGGAUACAAGGAGCCGUCAGUGAGCAGCUGAAUGUGAAAUGUGAUAUGGCGAUGAACAUGACAGGAUGCUGUAGCAAUUAAAUAGAAGCAAAUAUGUAGGGCACAGUGUAUGUGUGUGUGUGUGCGAGUGUAUGUGUGUGUGUGUGUGUGUGUGUGUGUGUGUGUGUGUGUGUGUGUGUGUGUGUGUGUGUGUGUGUGUGUGUGUGUGUGUGUGUGUGUGUGUGUGUGUGUGUGUCGGACAAGAGAAAGAGAAAAAGAGAAUGGGGUAAAGAGAGUUUGCCAGUGACAAGGAAGUCAAAUGAGGGAAAGCUCCAUUUCCCCAGCUAAAUGUACCCCUGGGAGGCGUAAGGGAGGGAGGGAAAGCAAGAAAGAGAGAAAGGUUAUGAACCAACAAUACUCCUGCAUGGCUGCAGAUUUACUACUACCGAGCCCUCAGAGCUCUGCCUUGCUUAUUUCUACAGCCAGUUAAAACAAAUUGCAGCCAUGUUUCAAUCACCCACAUCCUCUCCUUGCUCAUCCGCUCAGAUGGGCUUUUAGCUGCUGUACUAUUUCUCUCCCUCUCUAUAGCUGAACAAAUGCUUUCCUCUAGUGAGGCAAUCUUCAUCCACUGGAAAGUCCCCAUUUUUUUUGGCUGAAACAUCCACCCACAGUCUGCCACCCCAAAAGGCUCCCUCGGCUCCCUUCUUCCUAAUGUCAACUCAAUAUGGGACCCGGAGUGGUGCAAACAGGAAAUGGCUCUCAGAAACCGUCGCCACUUUCAAACUUUGUUUACUUCCCUUUUGUCAUCAAUGAGGAACUUUUAAUUCCGUAAAGCAAACGAUUUGGCCUUACACGCUGCUCUUUUUCUGUCAAAUGCUCAACUAAAAAAAAAGUUGGCUGGAAAUCAUGAAAUUAACUAAAAUUCUUGCCUGAGACCACAGAAAGUGAAGAGAUGCCGCCUCUUUGGGUUGAAAGCUUUGGUAACCGGAUACGCUGCUUGAUUUGGGUUCAAAUGAGAGAGAGCAACGUCGGGCAGACUGAGUGGGAUGGGGGUAGAGGAUGGUUGGGGGCAGGUAUGGGGUCACAAGAGUGUCUUUUUCAUGUUGCAGAUUAGAAGCAGAUGUCGGUGGGAUUACACCAUCAGUGUCAUCACUCACCCCACAGCCCCGCCUACAUCUAUACACAGUCAUAGUACAUGCACGUACACACAAACACACGCGCAAAACGCACUCACAGAAACGCGAGCGCGUUGGAAACGAUUCACAGAGGACUCAACCGUCCACACAGCCAUACGGGACGAGUAAGAAGCCUCAAUGACUGAUGUGACGCCCCGUUCAGCGGCUGAAUUAGCCAAUUUCACGUUGUUCAAGUUCUUCAAAUCAAUCAAAACCAUUCGAAAACAUGAUCAACCAGAAAAAACAGGAUCAGAAACACGCUUACACACAUAGUUGCUUAAGGGAAGCAUUCGUUUUGAAGCAGCUGCUGGAAUGUGACGUACAAGUGUUCAGCCACGAGAUGCUGAUUUAUUGCUUCAUGAAAGUUAAUCUCAAUCUAGAUCUGUACAUCUUUGUCGCAUUUUUGCUUGUGGGUCAGUUUGAAGUAUUGCCAGCUUUGGAAAAGCGUGACGCUUUUGCCGUAGACUGGCAUGAAGGAGGGUGGAUCCCGAGCGAAAGAUCCAAACACUUACUGGAUCCGUUUGUUUGAUCCAACUCAACCAAAAACGUGCUCCAUCGAUUUCAUUUGUUGUUUAAACACUCAAAAGGUGAAAAGAGCUAGUCUACUGAAGAAUGUAACCUAACCAAAAUAAGUAACUUAAAAAUCUUGCUGCCCACAUUUUUUUUAAUGCCAUCAAUUUUGACUUUAGGUGACCUUUGAUUGCAUUAUAGGCUGUUACGCUAAUGAUAGCAGUAAUGCUGCAUCCCUCUCUGAUGUCUCUACACGCUUGUCCCCAGAUCCACCCCAAACCACUGACCUCGGCGCUGUGCACCUCCUACAGCCUUGAAGUGGUCCUGGGCUGAAAGAUAAAUGAUGUGACGGAGGAACCUCUGUCUGCAGAGAGCUUAUUGGAGCACCUCUGAAGUUGCAGAGAGCCAACGGGGUCUAAUACAGGAGAUCAAGGAACCCUCCAUGCUCUAAUGUGUGUGUCUGUACGUGAAAAUUUUAUAUGCAAAUCAAAAAUAAGCGUGUAAAUGACGCCAAUAUGUGAGCAAAUUCCCGGCUCUAGCGGACGUGUUUUGCUUGGCACUGGCAUUUGACAUCUGUGGUGUCAGCAGGGUGUUGGUCUAAGACAAGAGCCUGGAGGCUCCAGAAGAGAUCGCUGAGAGGAGUCAAAGCUGAGGCCACGAGUGCUUAUUGCUCCUGACAGAAACUAAACUGGGGCUGAGAAUAUGGCCACGUUUGCUGAGAAACAUCGUCACAUCACAAUGUGUUAUUUUGCAACAAACCAGCGAAGCCUGGAAGCCUUUUUUUUUUGUUGUUGGGCGCAGAGGUCUCGACCAAAUGUCAAAGAUAACUGUGGAUCAACUGUGACCGUAGGCUUCAUAAAAGAUUUGUGGUCAUAUGUGAGAGCAGCGUCGCUGAAAUAUGAAUACAACAGUCUGUCUCAACACGAUAUGCGUUUGGGUUCAUCAUGCCAAACAACCACAAACACGGAGAAAAAUCCCCAGAAGACACUGAUUUACAAGAAGACACAAAAGCACAUAAACUGGACGUAAUAUAUGUUGGUGUGUGUGUGUGUGUCUUUUGAGAUCACAGAGUGUGGACAGUUGAGGCUCCAGUCCAAAGCUGGGAGGAGAUUUGGAGGUGCCGCCGUUGUAGCAGACUGGCGGAGAUUAAAGAACUUAAGAUAGAGAGACAUUCAGUUCAAAGACUGCAAUACAGCAGUAUUUACGAGAGUAUGUCUGAAAAUCGCAUACCGCCACAGCACUUAACACAUGGAUCAUUGCAAAAAAUAUUGUUCCUAUGGAGGUCUACGUGGAGCCAUGAGGAUCAACGUCACCCUGGGUUGUUGAGCCUCUGUGUCUUUAGUUUUUUCAGAAGCAGACGCUAAAACACUUCGACCCACAUGUAGUCCACGUUAGACACACAACACUUCAAGAAUAUUAGGCACAAAACAGAGACAUUAUGAGCAUGAGACACAACCCAAAUGCAGCUUGUUUUGACCUAUAUUUAGUUUUCAGAGGGUACAUCUGUCCCCUCUUAUCUGCUCCACGACAUGGUGACUGCAUGCACCCUUUGAGUGCUUUCUGAGAACGGCCCUAGAGCUCGGAGAGCCAGCUCUUGAGCGACGAUCUUCAUGCUCUUGACCCGGCGGCACAGCGUAGAUACAGCCUUAACUAUGGUAACUAAUGCAGAUGCUCAAUGGCAAACCUUAUCUCUUAAUAACUCCUGUUGAAACUCUCCACAUGGUACAGUGAAAGCUUUUGUUUUUCAAGUGGUUUGUUUUGGUUUUUGCUUGGGUCAUUUUGGAUUUCAUAAACUGAUGUAAUUAGGUUUAAAAGAGGAAAGCACGUUAUACACAGCCCCAUUAUUACAGAGCAUAAUUCACGAAAUCUACAAAGAACUGAAACAAAUGGCUGAACACAUACUAUCACCAUUGGCUGCUGCACUUCAUUGAGAUCCAAGCCCACAGCUCACCGAGAAAUGUGAUAGAAAUGACUGAUUAUGUUUGUGCAUUUUGCUCUUUUAUAACAAUUCCUCUUCUACACUACACAGGCAGCAUCACCAUGUAUCCUGAGCUAAACAAAGAAAUCUGAGCUUGAUCAUCUUUAUGAGAUAUGAGCAUUAUUUUACUCCAUUAGAGGUCUGUACUGUCAACUGGGAGCUAGAAGUGACAACGGAAGCACCUGCAGCUUCUCUGUGAAAAAGUAUUCUCACUGUGUGGUUAUCAAAGCUUCGCUUGCGUAGCCGGUCCGGUCAUGAGUGUGCAUGUGUUAGUUAAUUUACUGUGCAGUGUGUGCUUUACUAAUUGCCGCCACUCAGACGGCGGUUACCGCUGACAACGCCGUCCCAACCCCCCGCGUUGUCAUACAAGCCGUAACACCGCACAGUCCCCUCCCCGGGAAACCCAUUUUAACCUCCGUCAACACUGUUGCCAUGGUUUCCGGUCCAAGUACCGUUGGCGGCUAGCCGCCGGAUCGGCCAUCGCCAUGUUGAGAGCCAAGUGGAGGCAAUCCGUCAAUCGCAGAAAUGCUCUGAAUUUAUAAUCUUGCACCUUUGAUUAAAAAAAAAAAAUUAAACGCUUACUAUUUUAAUUUGACUAGGCGUAAUAAUUUCGGAGCAAAUCUGCCGUAACAGCAGUUGUUGUUACAGCAAAGUGCAGUUAAAGGCAAUAAAUCCAUGUUCAAAUUCUUUUCAUUGCCAUGACCUGCACCCACAUUGUGAAUUUAUAUCGUAAAUGUGCUCCCUUUGACCCUCAAUUAACUUUAAUGAAAGCGGGAAGCCACAUAGUCUUUGUUACAUAUGUAUCUUAAGUGUGCACGUGCAUACACGCAUAUAUGUUUUUCCACAUCCUCUCCAUUCUUUCUCUUUUCUCUUUAGGUCCUCCAUGUUACUUUUCAGCAAUUGAAAUCAAGGUAAUGACUAGGCAAGGAAAAAGAAUGUUCUUUCAAUAGAUAAUUAGGGAGAUUGGUUUACCAGGGCCACUCAAAGCCCAUUCAAAUGCAGGGCUGAGGCCCGGCCUUGUUGUCUGCGGAGCCAAAAAGGCUCCCCAGAGAGGCAUUCGCCUUGGCUUCAUUUCUCAGAGCAGGUGCCUGGCAGGUAGUCAAUGGAGCCAGUUGAGAUAUACAAGAGACCCAUCCCCUUGGACAAGGGGUCAACAUCACAGGUCAAGGGUCAUGAGCAGAGGUCACAAGGUCAAUGUUUAGCACACAAGAUCGGCCAGAUGACUGGAAAUGCGGCCUGGACAGCAAGUGGUCAGUUGUGCGACUGAGCGCUUGCAGGAAGUGGAGGUACUACGGAUGUUGAUUGACUGCCACGGAUUAUUUCAAAUCUUUAUAAAUAUUGAAUGUAGCUGGCAGCGCAAUCAAUUAAAAGAAAACACACUGUACACACUUUGAAUGUCCACAAAGGAUUUUUCAACGAAAAUAUACUAAUUCCUGUUUGUCCAGUCAAGGAGUUCCUCUGUUGUGUCUCGCAAGGUCACUUCUUUAUUAACUUUAGGCAACUUAAACCGUUUAACGAUAUGUUGGAACUAAAUUGACAUGAACCUGUAACCUGGUGGUCCCUCGGCCCAAAUAUUCUUAGAAUUCCUCUCGACAACAUGAGCGGUGCAGGAUCAGAGGUCAGAAGUGAAGUGCACUCUGAUUUCUAAUUAAAUCUCAGUGAAGCGAUCUGUCAUUGGCCGUAGGCUACCAUUGAGAAGGGCUCAGCUACCAUGGCUUCACACGUAAACGUAUACCCCCUCCCCACCCCCCCACCUUAAUACCACACCACCCUGGACUCCAGCCACCUUGGGUUCCCUGGCUACACCCCAAGGGAAACACUAUAAAUGUCAAUGUCCUGCGAGGCGGCUACUGGAGGAGUCCCAGCUAUCAUGCAAGUGAGAAGCAUGUAUGGUUUAACAGGAGCUUUUUUUACUCUAGUGGCAGUUCCUGAAAAUGCAACAGUAAUUUAGAGUCAGAUCCUCUUACAUAGCGGUGGACCUGAGCUUCUGUGAUAUGUAACGGAAACUCUGUUGGGUUGGCAAAAUGUGCACACCCAAUCGCUGCCCUGUGCACAUUCAACGAUACUGUACACAUGUCAGGGAAUGAUUACGGAGAGAACAACAGUAUACAGGGAAACCUCAGCUCAAACCCUGUGCGGUAUACAAUGUUCAGGUACCUAGGACCCAUUCUUCAUUAGCAUUUGUGGCAAUAAGCACAGCAGCAUAUCCAAUAUGCAUGCCAAUUUUUCUCCCUCUAAUCAAAUAGAAAGCCUGUGAAGUAAAUAUCUAUUUUCUUACAGCCUGGCUGUUUACAACAUGAGGGAGCGGCUAUAUAAACAGUGCGUGGCGAUUGAAGAAUUUAUUUUAACGUAUCUGGAAAGCAUAUGCUAGAUAUAGGAAACCCAUAGAGUCAGUGGCUCCAUAUUGGCUGCAGAGGUCAAAGGCUAGAGAAGGUCAAAGGUUUCAUCCUCCUUUCUCAUCAUGAAGUGCAUUAACUUCUUCCCCCUGUCCCGUCUCAUCCAGAUGGCCGACCAGGCCACAGGACAGAUGCCCCAUUUUAAAAUAUCUCAGGGAUCCAAAAUGCACCAUUGAGAAUAAAUAUGGCUCCAUCUUUAGGACAUCAUAUUUCAAAGGAAUAUGGCUAUGGAUACGGGUGGACUGUUUAAAGCAUGUGUAAUUGAUUCUUGGUCCGAUUGUGACAGCUUGCUCUUUUGAGUUUGUGUUUUAACUAUUCAAUUUUUCAUUGUCAGAAAGUAGUGUUGAUUUGUACCUCAACUGUAAUCAUUAGAUGCUUACACGGGUACCCAGUCAGACAUACUAAUCUCACGUUUUAGAAACAAGUCAGAAAAAUAAACAUCCAAAAACAUAAAAUGUACGUUAGUUACAUAGUGAUCAAAUGUUAAACCUAGUCAACCAUGAUACUGCACUGCAAUUAGGCCAUGUUGUUGCUAUUGGCAGUAGACCAUGAUCCCUGUUCAGAAAAAGGCAGGGACGUUACCUGGAGGAAGUGACCUCACUUGUGUGCCUGAGUAAUUCAAUCCUCGGUAGUUGGAGGUCUGCAUGUACGGCAUUCUUCCCCUUUUUGCCCGGGUUUGGCCUAUAAUUACCAAAGCCCUCAUGAUUAAUGUUGUUGAGAAGCCGGCCCGUUAGUGGCUUCACAAGCAGCAAGCAAAGAAAUAGAAAGUCCAAUCGUAAAAAACUCAUCACACAGUGUCCCCCUUCAACCAAUGAGCAUGGUCUAUAAACAGAUGACCCCCACUUCUCAGAGCCUUUAUUCUAACAGCACCAAAACUCUUCCAGGUACACUCGCUGUCAAACGAAUGAAGCCUCUCCAAGCCAAAUGGGUCAAAGCAUCCGGCCUGCAGCUUUGGGUUGGCCCUUGGCGCGGCUUCUUAAGACAUUCACACGCAUUUAUGUUUUCACAGAGCAGCAGUGACUCAUACACACCUUUAAGCACACACAAAAAUCACAUACUGCACGCUACCCUGCCCGGAGACCUCUGACUUGAACCUGCUGCUCUCACUCAGCAAUACAUAAAUCACUGGGCUCUCAGCAGCACCGCUGACCCUCAGCGCCGUGCUGAACUUGACUCCACGGGAAUACAAGUCCGUAACUGAAUACAAAACUAAUUCAGGCAGAAACAAUUGUUGGCAUACAGGAGGUCCGAGAGGUGCCGAUACUGCCCCCCACCCAUGCGACAACAUCACAUCUCUGACCUUCUGCUCUCCGGCUAGCUAAGGGUGCUACUGGUCAGAGAACAGAGAAGCACUGGGAUUGAGUGAGGACGUGAGGGAAAGGCGCAGAUGAACCAUCUGCCUCCACCCAACCCUAACUCAUCAACUCCGUCAGGUAUACUUGAGAAGUUACAGAGCUGCAGCGGUCAUUACACUCACAAACACACACACACACACUGCUAUUCAAAUGCAUAUUUUAGGUUGUAGUAUCAUCUAUGGUAUUUUGCACAUUUCCAAGGCUUCCUUUCAGAGGCAGAUCUUCCCCUUUUUACUUUGUUCAUUUAUUUAUUUUACUAACUAGAACCAUGCACACUAUCAUCUUCCAACACAUGCAACUCGUUCUUAUUAUUACUACUGUGUCACAUAUUGACACUUUGUAAUGCACUGGGUCGCCUAAUUAGCUGGUGUAAACUUGUGAUUGACAAUAUCAAUUUCAACAACACAAAACUACUUUAAAAUACUUUUUAAAAUAAUUAAACAACGUGAGCAUGCAGGACAAGUCACAAACACCAUUGAUGAAACCUCGAAAUACAAAAACGAGUCUCGAACAAUGGUUUCCUAAUUAUAAGUUGUUUGUUUGUGUGACUCAGCCACCCCUCCCUCACUUGAUCCCGCCCAGUUUGUUCCUUUUCUCGGAGCGUCUUCAUAAGCCCAGUGCGUCUCACACAGGCGCUGAGGGCCGCGACAAACAGUUGAUAUCUGACUCCGGCGGAUCGAGAAAGGGGCUCCAGCAUGAUAAUGUUGUAUACAGUGUGUGCAUUGUUUGUUCUGAGGAGAUUUGUUAACGAGGUUUAAUUUUCUCGUUUCCGGGACACUGAAGAACACAGUUGAGCCGUUGAGCCUUUUGGGGGCGUGGCCUAAUUGAGCAACAUAUUGAAGAAAGAAUGUGUCUAUUCAAUAAACCCCGGUGAUUAAUGCAAGCAGGCUCUGAAGGGGCCGCUGCCUUUGUCAUGCUCCUAAAGACGCGUAAGGCAAUAAUGAAAAGCAAAACUUUAUUUGGAUCGGUUUCCCAUUGUUUCCCUGUUAGUCUACUUUUCUGUCGACAACCAGGCACAGCAGAGCCCUAACAACACCCUGCUGUAAAUAAUUCAACAGCCCGUCCUGUAAUGUGGCAACCUCCCACACCACUCCCCAACCGUCUAAAUGCGCUCCGGCAGCGCUGUGAAACCUG